GGGCGGGGGAAUUUCCUCCUUCCUAACUGCUGUGCCUCCUUCGACAGUCCGCAGUUUAGAAACAUUUUAUAGGAGUAGCUGAAAAUGGCCGCUUACCUGAACAUCGGAGGACAUGGACAUGUGGGAGAUGAGCCCUCAGAGGAAGAAUAUCGCCGGCAGGCCGCUCUAUUCCUGACCAGGCAUAGGCCGGAGCUCAUCCAGAGGGUCAAACCGGUACUGCCCAUAGCAGACCAGCUCCUCUCUCAGGAGUUCAUUGGACCGGAGACCUACGCAAACAUCCGGGCUGGUGCCACCUAUCAGAACCAAAUGAGGGACCUGUAGGAUGGCCUGAGCUCAGCUCAGGGCAAACUGGCCCUCUGCAGGAUCCUACAAAGAGACCAUUCCCACCUAGUGGAGGAGCUGCAGAAUGCAAGAUGAAGGCAGACAUAUUGAUUGGAUUAGAUUCUUUAUUGUCCCCCAUCAGACAGUCCAUUCCAUCAGGUCUUUGUAGUACGCAUCUCAUUUACAAUACAUAUAGACACCAUCUUCAUAUAUAGACACAUAAACAUCCUCAGACAUCCAUAUACAAUACAUAUAGGCUACACACAUCUAUUCCUAUACACUCCAAUAAAUUCAAUCCUCUACAUUCCUAUACACUCCUCUCCUCCACAUACAACCAUUUUUGUUUGUUUGUUUGCUUGUUUGUUUGUUUUACCCUCCCCCUCCUUUGCCCAGCAUUUACUCUGGAUGAUAUGAGGUCAUGCACACACACACACACAAACACACACACACACAAACACACACACACACACACACACACACACACACACACACACACACACACACACACACACACACACACACACACACACACACACACACACAUUCUUGUCUUUUAAUUUGUCAGGAAACUCGAGCAGCAAAUACAGCCAACAAGUAUGUCACGACCAUGGAGGUAGUAUAAGAACUGGAGAGAGUGAAUAAGUCCUGCCUCCAGUCAUUUCAAUGGGAAAUGCUAGGCUAGUGAAUUCAGCCAAAAUUGAACGAAUUUUUGAGCUUCAAAGAUGGAGUCGUUUCCACCACCAGUUUUCUCAGCCAAUUACGUGCCACGUUAAUGACUGACUUACGAUUGACCAGAAAGAUAUAUAGAAGAUGGGCAUUAGAUGCAUGGAGGUGCCAACCACACACCUGUAUAGGUAUGUGUGCCCAACACUAAACGCAUGCACCCACCAAUCGCGUCCACCCUCUUUGAGCGAAGUGGUGGUGGAAUUGCGACGAGGAAGUGCCUUGCUAAUCGGCGAAGCUGAUCAGUCAAAUCCUGACCCCCUGGUCACGACACCACCAGGUUCUCCAUCAGUCUCUACUCCUCGUCACUCUGCUCCAACGAUCUCCCAAUCUAAUUCCCCUGUCUACUAAUUGCCCAAUCAUCUUAUCCACUUCCCCAAUCAUCCGAUCUCCACUCUGCUACUCCCCAGAACCUAGCCAAUCUCCUCUUCUACUCCCCAGCACCUGUAGCCAAUCUCCUGCUGCCCAUUUAAACCCCUGUCACCCUGCUCUCUCUCCAUCUGGCCUCUUCAACACAGACACUAAAUCCAGCACACGGACUGCUCCUUGUCUCUGAAGCUCUGCUCCUCAUUUCCUGAAGUGCCUGCUAUGACAAGAUUCAAGAUUCAAGAUUCAAGAUUAGUUUAUUACGUCUUAUUAUAGGUUUGAAGCCUAUAAAGAGUAAAAAUUGUUGUGUUUUUCUUGUGUCCUCAAAAAGAUUUUAAAAAUAAAAAUAAAAAAGAGGGGGGGGGGGGUGGAAAAAAGUGCAAAGAAAGUGCCUUGUUGUCUUCAGCAUGAAUUCAGUAAUCUUAUUGCUUGGUGGAAGAAACUACUUUGGAGUCUGGUAGUAUGAGAUUUCAGGCUUCUGUACCGUUUCCCAGAUGGUAACAUAGUAAACAGUCCAUGGUUGGGGUGACUAGGAUCAGCCAAGAUUUUCUUUGCCUUCCUGAUGCUCCUUCCCUCAAAUAGCUCCAGUAUGGAGGGUAAGUCACAGCCGCAUAUAUUCUGAGCUGUACGCACAACCCUCUGUAGAGCUCUCCUGUUGGCUUGAGAGCAGUUCCCAUACCAUGCAGUAAUGGUCCCUGUCAGUAUGCUCUCGAUGGUGCCUCUGUAAAACGACCUCAGGAUCUUGGGUCUCAUCCCAAACUUCCUCAAUCGUCUGAGGUGGUACAGACGUUGCUGGCUUUUUUUAACAAUGCGCUGUGUGUGACUGUCCCAGGUGAGGUCCUCUGAGAUGGUAACGCCAAGGAAUUUAAAGUCUCUCACCCUCUCCACUGUCUCACCGUUGAUGUUAAUGGUUUCAAACUGGUGUUCU
Engraulis encrasicolus (European anchovy) is the source of this 2338-nucleotide long non-coding RNA. RefSeq lists it as uncharacterized. Lineage: Eukaryota; Metazoa; Chordata; Actinopteri; Clupeiformes; Engraulidae. The transcript has 3 exons. The record is from RefSeq and is a predicted model, not a curated record.